GCACUGAAGAAGAGUCUCAAACUAGGACGAAACGGCUGUCCAGUAC
This 46-nucleotide non-coding RNA is filed under the name Trichobilharzia regenti. The record is from RNAcentral. Lineage: Eukaryota; Metazoa; Platyhelminthes; Trematoda; Strigeidida; Schistosomatidae.